UAGCCACUGGAAACGGUGAUUAAUACCGGAUACUCCUUCUCAUUAUAAGAUGAGUCGGGAAAGUUUUUCGCUAAGGGAUCAGCCUAUGUCCUAUCAGGUAGUUGGUGAGGUAACGGCUCACCAAGCCAAUGACGGGUAUCUGGUUUGAGAGGAUGAUCAGACACACUGGAACUGAGACACGGUCCAGACUCCUACGGGAGGCAGCAGUGAGGAAUAUUGCACAAUGGAGGAAACUCUGAUGCAGCAACGCCGCGUGGAGGAUGACGCAUUUCGGUGUGUAAACUCCUUUUAAGAGGGAAGAUUAUGACGGUACCUCUUGAAUAAGCACCGGCUAACUCCGUGCCAGCAGCCGCGGUAAUACGGAGGGUGCAAGCGUUACUCGGAAUCACUGGGCGUAAAGGGUGCGUAGGCUGACUUUUAAGUCAGGCGUGAAAUCCAAUGGCUUAACCAUUGAACUGCGCUUGAAACUGGGAGUCUAGAGUUCAGAAGGGGCAGAUGGAAUUAGUGGUGUAGGGGUAAAAUCCGUAGAUAUCACUAGGAAUAUCAAAAGCGAAGGCGAUCUGCUGGGAUGAUACUGACGCUGAGGCACGAAAGCGUGGGGAGCAAACAGGAUUAGAUACCCUGGUAGUCCACGCCCUAAACGAUGAAUGCUAGUCGUCGGGGAGCUCGUCUCUUCGGUGAUGCACUUAACAGAUUAAGCAUUCCGCCUGGGGAGUACGGUCGCAAGAUUAAAACUCAAAGGAAUAGACGGGGACCCGCACAAGUGGUGGAGCAUGUGGUUUAAUUCGAAGAUACACGAAGAACCUUACCUGGCCUUGACAUGGUAGGAACCCUGUAGAGAUACGGGGGUGCUGGCUUGCUAGAGCCUACACACAGGUGCUGCACGGCUGUCGUCAGCUCGUGUCGUGAGAUGUUGGGUUAAGUCCCGCAACGAGCGCAACCCUCGUCCUUAGUUGCUAACGGUUCGGCCGAGCACUCUAAGGAGACUGCCUUCGCAAGGAGGAGGAAGGUGAGGACGACGUCAAGUCAUCAUGGCCCUUACGGCCAGGGCUACACACGUGCUACAAUGGGGCGUACAGAGAGCUGCGAUACCGCGAGGUGGAGCCAAUCUCUUAAAGCGUCUCUCAGUUCGGAUUGUUCUCUGCAACUCGAGAA
This 1155-nucleotide ribosomal RNA is filed under the name uncultured Campylobacterota bacterium. RNAcentral's name for it is "bacterial SSU rRNA". It matches the Rfam family "Bacterial small subunit ribosomal RNA", at positions 144 to 1318 of the family's 1533-position model. The record is from RNAcentral. Lineage: Bacteria; Pseudomonadati; Campylobacterota.